GUCAAAUCAUGCUUCCCCAAGUUGUGAUAUCUAGUGGGAGUUUCAAACAACUGGCCAAUAGCAAGUGAAGAUACCAGUCCUGCCCCCUAAACAUACUUCCAAAAUCUCAACUUGUGGUUCUUAUCUAGGAAUCUCUGAAGAAGAGCAACUUUUCAGACAGGUAGAGUGUGCCUUGCUCCCAAGGAAAAGAGUUCUUGAAAAAAACAAAUGGGAAACAUGGCUACAAGAAAACUGGGAAGACUGCAAGAAAAUCUCAGAAUCUGCUUGAGAAUCCGGUCCUUCUUCCUCCAUACACCCAUGGAACACUCCCAAACUCUGUAUGCUGCUCACUAAUUCUGAUUAAGGUCUUCACCCUCCCUACCUUGGAAAUUGCUACAACAUAAUUGUGUUUAAUUUGAACAUUUCAUUUCAGGGUUUGGGGGAUCCUUACCAAGUUGAAAAUUUUAACAGAAUUCUUAGAAGACUAAUUCGAGUUGAAACCCUCUGGGAUUGCUAGAGAACCCCUUUUACAGGGAGCUGCUAUUUGCUUCAGCAGGCAGAAUGCGUAGGUGGAGUGAGCUUUGGUGGCAAUGAGAGGGGCCAACAGAGGUCCUCAGGAGUGAAUUAGAUGAAGGAAAUUGAGCAUCCAC
Molecule: long non-coding RNA, 629 nt
Filed under: Homo sapiens (human)
Lineage: Eukaryota; Metazoa; Chordata; Mammalia; Primates; Hominidae
Description: HSALNT0063820
Source: RNAcentral